Molecule: long non-coding RNA, 753 nt
Filed under: Rattus norvegicus (Norway rat)
Lineage: Eukaryota; Metazoa; Chordata; Mammalia; Rodentia; Muridae
Description: long non-coding RNA NONRATT008121
Source: RNAcentral
UUAUGCUCUCCCUCUCAAGACGCAUUAAAGCUUUUCUGUAGUAGGAUCCUGUGUGUGCCGCGUCGUUCCUGCUGGCGAGACGUAGCGCGGGACAUCUGGUGCCAAAAACCCGGGAAAGACCUCACCAUCGUCAGCACCUUCGGAGAUCCCUUGGCGACAAGGAGGAUUCAGAACUGCAGGACAAUGAAAAUCCCAUAUGGAUCCCAGGACGACUUACUAGGAGCAUCACAGCAAGUGAUCAAGAAGGGACUGGGACUCCUGCACCUCCUCACUCUUCUUCCAUGGAUGCCAGCAACGGUGCAGGGCAAGCUACGAUGGGGAAUAAUGUCAACCUUUCCACUCCCGAUGCCGGUGAUGUACCACUAACAGGGAUUUAGGGUUGGCCUAUUUACCUAAGGAUCCACAGGUUGAAAGACUAAAAGAAAAUAGGACUAUUCCCCUUAAGGGCAGCCUUUGUUUUGGCAUAUUCAACAAAACAUCUUUUGAUCUCCCUUGCAUUAUGUUAUGUAAUCAAUCUUCUGCUUGGUUAAGGGAGGCCACAUGGGGAACUGGUGAGGAGGACAUUGUGGCUAACGCCACAGUUCUCUAUGGUGGUGGCCUUACAUUGCGUUACUGGUAGCUGCACUGAUCUUACGCCCAUGGCGAUGCUACUUGGAGGAAAGGGCGAAAAGGGACGGUUGUCAUUUUCCUGGAUGGGGAACAUCAAACCUGCUGCCUCUGUCUGGACAGCUACUCAUAUAAAAUAUCGCAGUA